UCUUGCACAAUGGGGGAAACCCUGAUGCAGCGACGCCGCGUGGAGGAUGACGGAUUUAGGUCUGUAAACUCCUUUUGUUGGGAAAGACUUAGGACGGUACCCAACGAAUAAGCUCCGGCUAACUACGUGCCAGCAGCCGCGGUAAGACGUAGGGAGCAAGCGUUGUCCGGAUUUACUGGGCGUAAAGAGCGCGUAGGCGGCUCGUUAAGUGUGAAGUGAAAUCUCCAGGGCUCAACCCGGAAACUGCUUUACAUACUGGCGAGCUUGAGGGAUGCAGAGGUGACUGGAAUUCCUGGUGUACCGGUGAUAUGGGUAGAUAUCAGGAGGAACGUCAAGGCGAAGGCAGGUCACUGGGCAUCUCUGACGCGAGGCGCGAAA
This 378-nucleotide ribosomal RNA is filed under the name uncultured bacterium. RNAcentral's name for it is "bacterial SSU rRNA". It matches the Rfam family "Bacterial small subunit ribosomal RNA", at positions 362 to 758 of the family's 1533-position model. The record is from RNAcentral.